GGGGCCAUAGCUCAGUUGGGAGAGCGCCUGCUUUGCAAGCAGGAGGUCGUCGGUUCGAUCCCGACUGGCUCCA
This 73-nucleotide transfer RNA is filed under the name Steroidobacter denitrificans. It matches the Rfam family "tRNA". Rfam says of the family: Transfer RNA (tRNA) molecules are approximately 80 nucleotides in length. Their secondary structure includes four short double-helical elements and three loops (D, anti-codon, and T loops). Lineage: Bacteria; Pseudomonadati; Pseudomonadota; Gammaproteobacteria; Steroidobacterales; Steroidobacteraceae. The record is from Rfam by way of RNAcentral.